GGACGAGCACUCACGCAAAGGUAACGCGUGGUGGUGGCGGCGGUGGCGGACCCGACAGGGAGCCCACCCCGGCGGAAUCGAUGGGCGGACGGCCGCCGCGUCGCAGAGCGUGAUAUUUUUGCUAUCGCCUCGAGCGCGGAGAGGCUGCCAGCCCUCGCCAUACGCCUGCUGUGUCGCUGAGCGUGAUGCUUUGCCAUCGCCUCGGGCACGGCAUGGCUGAGAACAUGACAUU
Molecule: unclassified non-coding RNA, 232 nt
Filed under: uncultured Helvella
Lineage: Eukaryota; Fungi; Ascomycota; Pezizomycetes; Pezizales; Helvellaceae
Description: sequence contains ITS2
Source: RNAcentral